UGGGGAAUAUUGCACAAUGGACGGAAGUCUGAUGCAGCAACGCCGCGUGCGGGAUGACGGCCUUCGGGUUGUAAACCGCUUUUUCUCAUGACGAAGUUUUUUGACGGUAGUGGGGGAAGAAGCACCGGCUAACUACGUGCCAGCAGCCGCGGUGAUACGUAGGGUGCGAGCGUUGUCCGGAAUUAUUGGGCGUAAAGAGCUUGUAGGCGGUUUGUCGCGUCGAUAGUGCAAACUCAGUGCUUAACGCUGAGCCUGCUGUUGAUACGGGCAGACUAGAGGAAGGUAGGGGAGAAUGGAAUUCCCGGUGGAGCGGUGGAAUGCGCAGAUAUCGGGGGGAACACCGGUGGCGAAGGCGGUUCUCUGGGCCUUUCCUGACGCUGAGAAGCGAAAGCGUGGGGAGCGAACAGG
This 408-nucleotide ribosomal RNA is filed under the name Fusobacteriota bacterium. RNAcentral describes it as "Fusobacteria bacterium partial 16S ribosomal RNA". It matches the Rfam family "Bacterial small subunit ribosomal RNA", at positions 355 to 776 of the family's 1533-position model. Lineage: Bacteria; Fusobacteriati; Fusobacteriota. The record is from RNAcentral.